This 1278-nucleotide ribosomal RNA is filed under the name metagenome. RNAcentral's name for it is "bacterial LSU rRNA". It matches the Rfam family "Bacterial large subunit ribosomal RNA", at positions 1657 to 2925 of the family's 2925-position model. The record is from RNAcentral.
GUACAGGUGGGCGAGAUGAGUAUUCUAAGGCGCUUGAGAGAACUCGGGAGAAGGAACUCGGCAAAUUUGUACCGUAACUUCGGGAUAAGGUACGCCCUAGUAGUUUGACUGGCCUGCGCCAGAAGGACAAACGGGUUGCAAUAAAAAGGUGGCUGCGACUGUUUAAUAAAAACACAGCACUCUGCAAACACGAAAGUGGACGUAUAGGGUGUGACGCCUGCCCGGUGCUGGAAGAUUAAAUGAUGGGGUGCAAGCUCUUGAUUGAAGUCCCAGUAAACGGCGGCCGUAACAAUAACGGUCCUAAGGUAGCGAAAUUCCUUGUCGGGUAAGUUCCGACCUGCACGAAUGGCGUAACGAUGGCCACACUGUCUCCUCCCGAGACUCAGCGAAGUUGAAAUGUUUGUGAUGAUGCAAUCUACCCGCGGCUAGACGGAAAGACCCCAUGAACCUUUACUGUAGCUUUGCAUUGGACUUUGAACCAAUCUGUGUAGGAUAGGUGGGAGGCUUUGAAGUAGGGACGCUAGUCUCUAUGGAGCCAUCCUUGAAAUACCACCCUGGUUUGUUUGAGGUUCUAACCUUGGUCCGUUAUCCGGAUCGGGGACAGUGCAUGGUAGGCAGUUUGACUGGGGCGGUCUCCUCCCAAAGUGUAACGGAGGAGUUCGGAGGUACGCUAGAUACGGUCGGACAUCGUGUUGAUAGUGCAAUGGCAUAAGCGUGCUUAACUGCGAGACUGACAAGUCGAGCAGGUACGAAAGUAGGACAUAGUGAUCCGGUGGUUCUGUAUGGAAGGGCCAUCGCUCAACGGAUAAAAGGUACUCUGGGGAUAACAGGCUGAUUCCUCCCAAGAGUUCAUAUCGACGGGGGAGUUUGGCACCUCGAUGUCGGCUCAUCACAUCCUGGGGCUGUAGCCGGUCCCAAGGGUAUGGCUGUUCGCCAUUUAAAGUGGUACGUGAGCUGGGUUUAAAACGUCGUGAGACAGUUUGGUCCCUAUCUGCCGUGGGCGUUGGAAGUUUGAAGGGGGCUGCUCCUAGUACGAGAGGACCGGAGUGGACGAACCUCUGGUGUAUCGGUUGUCACGCCAGUGGCAUUGCCGAGUAGCUAAGUUCGGAAGAGAUAACCGCUGAAAGCAUCUAAGCGGGAAACUCGCCCUGAGAUGAGACUUCCCGGGAGUUUAACUCCCCUAAAGGGUCGUUCGAGACCAGGACGUUGAUAGGUCAGGUGUGGAAGCGCAGUAAUGCGUUAAGCUAACUGAUACUAAUUGCCCGUGUGGCUUGUCCG